Molecule: RNA transcript, 853 nt
Organism: Musa acuminata AAA Group (dessert banana)
Lineage: Eukaryota; Viridiplantae; Streptophyta; Magnoliopsida; Zingiberales; Musaceae
Gene name: syntaxin-22-like
Exons: 6
Source: RefSeq, a predicted model, not a curated record
AUCGACGAGUUUGAAAGGUAGAAGUCGAAGCUCGCGGGGCCUUCGUAGCCGCGCUGCUAGAUCUCCAAAAGGCCCAAAAGCUCGCUAUGAAGCGGGAAGAUGCCCGCAACGCCUCCCCUUCUCGGCCUUGGCCGCUGACGAGCUCGCCCGGCGAAGAGACUGCUGCGGGAGAGGAUGCAGGUGAUGACGACGACAGGUUGCUGCUCUGGGAACAGACGAGGAGAGAGAGAGAGAGAGCCAAAUCCAUUCAUUUUCUCUCUCUUCAUGCCUGGAGGAAAACAUCUGAGACAUCAGAGUAAAUACAAAUCGAUCCAAUCCGCUGGGCACAAAAUUUGAGAAGGCAAGAGUUACUCUCCUUGGAGAAUGAGAUAGUCUUCAAUGAGGCCAUAAUAGAGGAAAGGGAGAAAGAUAUCAAAGAAACACACUACGAUGUACAGCAAAUACACGAAAUUUAUCAAGAUCUCGCUGUCUUACUUCAUGACCAGCCUAUCGGUAUAGAUAACAUCGAUAAGCGUAUCGAAGAGUCAGCAGCAUCGACAGGCCGAGCUAAAGAACAACUGUACAAGGCUUCCAAAUGCACUAGAACUAGGUCUUCUUGGGUGUGCUGGGUGUUGAUAAUUUUGGUGCUGGUGCUGGUGCUGGUGCUGGUCAUCCUUCUCCUUGUUCUCAUCUUGCACCGGUUGCUUGCCCGGCAUGACAAUCCAGUACAAUCACUAGUGAAGCAAUGAUCAUUCGAGUGUCAGGCAAUAUGUAUCGCUAAUCAGUUUCUAACAUCUCAUGAUUGUAAGCUAAUUUUGAAGCAUCACAAUGUUAUCGAGUAUGCUUUCUACUAAUCUAUAGCUGAAUUCUAUCA